This 213-nucleotide long non-coding RNA is filed under the name Lathyrus oleraceus (garden pea). Its description in RNAcentral is "Pisum sativum (pea) long non-coding RNA (PSAT_LNC020658)". Lineage: Eukaryota; Viridiplantae; Streptophyta; Magnoliopsida; Fabales; Fabaceae. The record is from RNAcentral.
CAACGUUCGCCAAGAGAACGGAGCGUGGCAGAACCAGUUAAGUUAUGUUUAGGUUAUUUUCAAAGUCAUUCCUAUUUUCACAAACAGCAACUUCUCUUGAACACUCCCACUAACCCACUUCCAAAACUCAAAAUUUUUUCCUCUCCAUCUCCCAAAUCCUAACUGUUAACAAAGAAUCAAGUUCACUUCAACAAGGUAUGUUUGUUCUUUUCA